UACGGAGGGUGCAAGCGUUAUCCGGAUUCACUGGGUUUAAAGGGUGCGUAGGUGGGCAAGUAAGUCAGUGGUGAAAUCUCCGGGCUUAACCCGGAAACUGCCAUUGAUACUAUCUGUCUUGAAUACCGUGGAGGUGAGCGGAAUAUGUCAUGUAGCGGUGAAAUGCUUAGAUAUGACAUAGAACACCAAUUGCGAAGGCAGCUCACUACACGAAUAUUGACACUGAGGCACGAAAGCGUGGGGAGCAAACAGG
This 253-nucleotide ribosomal RNA is filed under the name uncultured bacterium. RNAcentral's name for it is "partial 16S ribosomal RNA". It matches the Rfam family "Bacterial small subunit ribosomal RNA", at positions 524 to 776 of the family's 1533-position model. The record is from RNAcentral.